RNAcentral lists this ribosomal RNA (759 nucleotides) under Haemophilus influenzae. Its description in RNAcentral is "bacterial SSU rRNA". It matches the Rfam family "Bacterial small subunit ribosomal RNA", at positions 28 to 776 of the family's 1533-position model. Lineage: Bacteria; Pseudomonadati; Pseudomonadota; Gammaproteobacteria; Pasteurellales; Pasteurellaceae. The record is from RNAcentral.
AUUGAACGCUGGCGGCAGGCUUAACACAUGCAAGUCGAACGGUAGCAGGAGAAAGGUUGCUUUCUUGCUGACGAGUGGCGGACGGGUGAGUAAUGCUUGGGAAUCUGGCUUAUGGAGGGGGAUAACGACGGGAAACUGUCGCUAAUACCGCGUAUUAUCGGAAGAUGAAAGUGCGGGACUGAGAGGCCGCAUGCCAUAGGAUGAGCCCAAGUGGGAUUAGGUAGUUGGUGGGGUAAAGGCCUACCAAGCCUGCGAUCUCUAGCUGGUCUGAGAGGAUGACCAGCCACACUGGAACUGAGACACGGUCCGGACUCCUACGGGAGGCAGCAGUGGGGAAUAUUGCGCAAUGGGGGGAACCCUGACGCAGCCAUGCCGCGUGAAUGAAGAAGGCCUUAGGGUUGUAAAGUUCUUUCGGUAUUGAGGAAGGUUGAUGUGUUAAUAGCACAUCAAAUUGACGUUAAAUACAGAAGAAGCACCGGCUAACUCCGUGCCAGCAGCCGCGGUAAUACGGAGGGUGCGAGCGUUAAUCGGAAUAACUGGGCGUAAAGGGCACGCAGGCGGUUAUUUAAGUGAGGUGUGAAAGCCCCGGGCUUAACCUGGGAAUUGCAUUUCAGACUGGGUAACUAGAGUACUUUAGGGAGGGGUAGAAUUCCACGUGUAGCGGUGAAAUGCGUAGAGAUGUGGAGGAAUACCGAAGGCGAAGGCAGCCCCUUGGGAAUGUACUGACGCUCAUGUGCGAAAGCGUGGGGAGCAAACAGG